Molecule: ribosomal RNA, 733 nt
Filed under: uncultured Bacilli bacterium
Lineage: Bacteria; Bacillati; Bacillota; Bacilli
Description: bacterial SSU rRNA
Rfam family: Bacterial small subunit ribosomal RNA
Source: RNAcentral
UGCCUAAUACAUGCAAGUCGAGCGAGCUUGCCUAGAUGAAUUUGGUGCUUGCACCAAAUGAAACUAGAUACAAGCGAGCGGCGGACGGGUGAGUAACACGUGGGUAACCUGCCCAAGAGACUGGGAUAACACCUGGAAACAGAUGCUAAUACCGGAUAACAACACUAGACGCAUGUCUAGAGUUUAAAAGAUGGUUCUGCUAUCACUCUUGGAUGGACCUGCGGUGCAUUAGCUAGUUGGUAAGGUAACGGCUUACCAAGGCAAUGAUGCAUAGCCGAGUUGAGAGACUGAUCGGCCACAUUGGGACUGAGACACGGCCCAAACUCCUACGGGAGGCAGCAGUAGGGAAUCUUCCACAAUGGACGCAAGUCUGAUGGAGCAACGCCGCGUGAGUGAAGAAGGGUUUCGGCUCGUAAAGCUCUGUUGGUAGUGAAGAAAGAUAGAGGUAGUAACUGGCCUUUAUUUGACGGUAAUUACUUAGAAAGUCACGGCUAACUACGUGCCAGCAGCCGCGGUAAUACGUAGGUGGCAAGCGUUGUCCGGAUUUAUUGGGCGUAAAGCGAGUGCAGGCGGUUCAAUAAGUCUGAUGUGAAAGCCUUCGGCUCAACCGGAGAAUUGCAUCAGAAACUGUUGAACUUGAGUGCAGAAGAGGAGAGUGGAACUCCAUGUGUAGCGGUGGAAUGCGUAGAUAUAUGGAAGAACACCAGUGGCGAAGGCGACUCUCUGGUCUGCA